RNAcentral lists this unclassified non-coding RNA (127 nucleotides) under uncultured Austroboletus. RNAcentral describes it as "sequence contains ITS1". The record is from RNAcentral. Lineage: Eukaryota; Fungi; Basidiomycota; Agaricomycetes; Boletales; Boletaceae.
UCGAAUCUCCUUCAUAAUCUAUUACACACUUGUGCACCAACUGUAGGUUAACUCGAAAGAGUAACACCUAUGUACUAUCUACAUCACACUACCCCAACCGUAUGUCUAUAGAAUAAAUCCAAUAAUA